UGGGGUAUGGUUCAGUUGGUAGAGCACUUGUCUAGCAUCCAGGAAGUUCUGGGUCAGAUCCUUGUGCCACAU
Molecule: transfer RNA, 72 nt
Filed under: Cricetulus griseus (Chinese hamster)
Lineage: Eukaryota; Metazoa; Chordata; Mammalia; Rodentia; Cricetidae
Rfam family: tRNA
About the family: Transfer RNA (tRNA) molecules are approximately 80 nucleotides in length.
Source: Rfam by way of RNAcentral